GAUGAACGCUGACAGAAUGCUUAACACAUGCAAGUCAACUGUGGCGGACGGGUGAGUAACGCGUAAAGAACUGGCCUCACAGAUAGGGACAACAUUUGGAAACGAAUGCUAAUACCUGAUACUGUGAGAGAGUUUUGCGUCCCAUUAGCUAGUUGGAGAGGUAACGGCUCACCAAGGCGAUGAUGGGUAGCCGGCCUGAGAGGGUGAUCGGCCACAAGGGGACUGAUACACCGCCCUUACUGCUACGGGAGGCAGCAGUGGGGAAUAUUGGACAAUGGACCAAAGUCUGAUCCAGCAAUUCUGUGUGCACGAUGAAGUUUUCGGAAUGUAAAGUGCUUUCAGUUGGGAAGCAGUACCAGCAGAAGAAGUGACGGCUAAAUACGUGCCAGCAGCCGCGGUAAUAC
This 404-nucleotide ribosomal RNA is filed under the name uncultured bacterium. RNAcentral's name for it is "partial 16S ribosomal RNA". It matches the Rfam family "Bacterial small subunit ribosomal RNA", at positions 28 to 526 of the family's 1533-position model. The record is from RNAcentral.